RNAcentral lists this ribosomal RNA (679 nucleotides) under Derxomyces boekhoutii. RNAcentral's name for it is "eukaryotic LSU rRNA". It matches the Rfam family "Eukaryotic large subunit ribosomal RNA", at positions 1 to 667 of the family's 3401-position model. The record is from RNAcentral. Lineage: Eukaryota; Fungi; Basidiomycota; Tremellomycetes; Tremellales; Bulleribasidiaceae.
CUGACCUCAAAUCAGGUAGGACUACCCGCUGAACUUAAGCAUAUCAAUAAGCGGAGGAAAAGAAACUAACAAGGAUUCCCUUAGUAGCGGCGAGCGAAGCGGGAUGAGCUCAAAUUUGAAAUCUGGCGUCUUUCAGGCGUCCGAGUUGUAAUCUAUAGAAGCGUUUUCUGUGCUGGACCGUGUCCAAGUCCCUUGGAACAGGGUAUCAAAGAGGGUGACAAUCCCGUACUUGACACGACCACCAGUGCUCUGUGAUACGUUUUCGACGAGUCGAGUUGUUUGGGAAUGCAGCUCAAAAUGGGUGGUAAAUUCCAUCUAAAGCUAAAUAUUGGCGAGAGACCGAUAGCGAACAAGUACCGUGAGGGAAAGAUGAAAAGCACUUUGGAAAGAGAGUUAAACAGUACGUGAAAUUGUUGAAAGGGAAACGAUUGAAGUCAGUCGUGUCUAUUGGUUUCAGCCGGUCCUGCCGGUGUAUUACCUUUAGACGGGUCAACAUCAGUUUUGGACGGCAGAUAAGGGCAGUUUGAAGGUAGCACCUCCGGGUGUGUUAUAGCUUUCUGCCGCAUAUGCUGUCCGAGACUGAGGACUGCAGCUCGCCUUCACAGGCCGGGGUUCGCCCACGUUCGAGCUUAGGAUGUUGACAUAAUGGCUUUAAACGACCCGUCUUGAAACACGGACC